AUGACUCAGCCACCAGCUAUCGAACAGCGCAACUCCGAGCAUCUGCGCCUCAAACACCCCUCAAACGCCCGGGCGGACGACCCGAUUAUUGAACGUGUCAAGAUGUUAGAAGAAUCGCCGAGACUGAGGUGGGCGGCGGUGCUGGGCCCGACGGUGGAUGCACUGGUCACCUUGGUGGACGAGGCGGUGGAGCAGUGGCGGCCGUGGUCUUGCCCAACUCCCGCAGCGGAGUGGCUGGCCUUGGUGGGCCGAGGUUGCGGCCGAGGAUGCGAACAGGACGAGGAGGAGCCGUCCGUGAGCCGUGCAGCCGCCACCUAUCGAGGUGUCGCCACGGAGGAGCAGGUGGGCUGUGGCGAAGCUCGCCUCCGCAACGCAGGUAAGCAGGGCGGGCGCAAAAUGGAAGCCGCGGGGCAGGUGGACGGCCGCGCAGGUGGGAAUUUGUCGCCGACUGAUCCCUACGGCGGCUGGGGCAUGUGGUGCCAGCCGGCGACGGGGGGAGACGGAGGCUGGGGCGCGCGAGGAAAAGAUGUUCAAUACAAAAGGCAAGAGGAAGACAAUACCCAGAUUCUCAGUUAUCACCGAGUUAAUAAAACCAUUGUGAUGAAAGAUGGAGAUGUCUAUGAUUGCAUUGAUGUGAAUGCGCAACCGUCUUUCAGGCACCCACUAUUGAAAGACCACAAAGUCCAGAUGCAACCAAAUUCUUUCCCUGUUUGGAUGGAUAUCCAAACAUUGCCUUCAGAUGAACCAUCUACCAUUGAGUGCCCAAUGGGAACAAUCCCAAUACUGCAUACUAAUGGAAGUGACACCAUAGCAGCACAUAGUCACGAUGGGCAAUUGGAGUCAGCGGGACUCAUAUACCAGGGUGAUGUAUAUGGGGUGCGUGGUGUAUUAAAUGUUUGGGAUCCAAAGGACCCUGUGUCUAAGAACUGGUGGUUGACUUAUGAGCAUGUAGCAAUUGGAUAUUGGCCAAGUGCAUUAUUCGAAUUCCUUAGGAACAAAGGUGACGCAGCAUUCUGGGGUGGGAUUGUUGAGGGGCCGACUGCCUCGUCAAACUCUCCGCAAAUGGGCAGUGGACAUUUUGCUUCGGAGGGAUACGGAGGAUUAGCUUUCGUAAAAAAAUAUCCAGCUUGCGAAUAA
This 1137-nucleotide ribosomal RNA is filed under the name Triticum aestivum (bread wheat). RNAcentral describes it as "partial small subunit ribosomal RNA". Lineage: Eukaryota; Viridiplantae; Streptophyta; Magnoliopsida; Poales; Poaceae. The record is from RNAcentral.